AAGUCGUAACAAGGUUUCCGUAGGUGAACCUGCGGAAGGAUCAUUAACACGUAUCCAAACGUUAAAACCCCCCCCGUGAACCUUUAUGAGUGCGCACCGUCGGGUAUCCCGAGUCGUAGUGUAUGGUAAAUCAUGGGUAGAGUUGGGGUUCUCUCAACAGGCUACAUUAUUGAUUCAAUGAAAGUGUCAUUUAUUGUGUAAGCCGGCGCGUAAGCGUGCACUGGAGGCCAUCACGGCCAGUGACUGUUUCGGCCCUGCGUGGGCUCCUACCACAUUAAUUUUACCUCGGUGGUGCGAGGGCCAAGUGGCCUGCCGCACCGAACGCACAACUGUUAACAAUGGAUAUCUUGGUUCUC
RNAcentral lists this unclassified non-coding RNA (356 nucleotides) under fungal sp. Its description in RNAcentral is "partial internal transcribed spacer region". The stretch from base 1 to 46 matches the Rfam family "Eukaryotic small subunit ribosomal RNA", at positions 1786 to 1831 of the family's 1831-position model. The record is from RNAcentral. Lineage: Eukaryota; Fungi.